Molecule: ribosomal RNA, 301 nt
Filed under: uncultured bacterium
Lineage: Bacteria
Description: partial 16S ribosomal RNA
Rfam family: Bacterial small subunit ribosomal RNA
Source: RNAcentral
CAGCCGCCGCGGUAAUACGAAGGGUGCAAGCGUUACUCGGAAUUACUGGGCGUAAAGCGUGCGUAGGUGGUGGUUUAAGUCCGUUGUGAAAGCCCUGGGCUCAACCUGGGAAUUGCAGUGGAUACUGGGUCACUAGAGUGUGGUAGAGGAUAGUGGAAUUUCCGGUGUAGCAGUGAAAUGCGUAGAGAUCGGGAGGAACAUCAGUGGCGAAGGCGGCCAUCUGGGACAACACUGACGCUGAGGCACGAAAGCGUGGGGAGCAAACAGGAUUAGAUACCCCCGUAGUCCCUGUCUCUUAUAC